CCUACGGGAGGCAGCAGUAAGGAAUAUUGGUCAAUGGACGAAAGUCUGAACCAGCCAUGCCGCGUGAAGGAUGACGGCCCUCUGGGUUGUAAACUUCUUUUAUCUGGGACGAAAAAAGGGAAUUCUUUCUCACUUGACGGUACCAGAGGAAUAAGCACCGGCUAACUCCGUGCCAGCAGCCGCGGUAAUACGGAGGGUGCAAGCGUUAUCCGGAUUCACUGGGUUUAAAGGGAGCGUAGGUGGGCAGGUAAGUCAGUGGUGAAAUCUCCGGGCUUAACCCGGAAACUGCCAUUGAUACUAUUUGUCUUGAAUUAUCUGGAGGUAAGCGGAAUAUGUCAUGUAGCGGUGAAAUGCUUAGAUAUGACAUAGAACACCCAUUGCGAAGGCAGCUUACUACGGAUAUAUUGACACUGAGGCUCGAAAGCGUGGGGAUCAAACAGGAUUAGAUACCCUGGUAGUCCACGCCCUAAACGAUGGAUACUCGACAUCAGCGAUACACUGUUGGUGUCUGAGCGAAAGCAUUAAGUAUCCCACCUGGGAAGUACGACCGCAAGGUUGAAACUCAAAUGAAUUGACGG
This 578-nucleotide ribosomal RNA is filed under the name uncultured bacterium. Its description in RNAcentral is "bacterial SSU rRNA". It matches the Rfam family "Bacterial small subunit ribosomal RNA", at positions 338 to 916 of the family's 1533-position model. The record is from RNAcentral.